GGAGAGGUGGCCGAGUGGUUUAAGGCGCACGCUUGGAAAGCGUGUGUAGGGGAAACUCUACCGCGGGUUCGAAUCCCGCUCUCUCCGCCA
This 90-nucleotide transfer RNA is filed under the name Caulobacter sp. Its description in RNAcentral is "tRNA-Ser". It matches the Rfam family "tRNA". From Rfam's summary of the family: Transfer RNA (tRNA) molecules are approximately 80 nucleotides in length. Their secondary structure includes four short double-helical elements and three loops (D, anti-codon, and T loops). RNAcentral also lists the same sequence under 4 other names. The record is from RNAcentral. Lineage: Bacteria; Pseudomonadati; Pseudomonadota; Alphaproteobacteria; Caulobacterales; Caulobacteraceae.